This is a long non-coding RNA of Alnus glutinosa, 233 nucleotides long. RefSeq lists it as uncharacterized. The record is from RefSeq and is a predicted model, not a curated record. The transcript has 3 exons. NCBI's taxonomy places the organism in Eukaryota, Viridiplantae, Streptophyta, Magnoliopsida, Fagales, Betulaceae.
AACACAGUAAGGAUGUAUGGACCCUCGUCAGUACAGCCGCAUUCUCAGUCACAGCCUCAGCCUCAGACUAAUGCUUUUUCUCAUGGUAAUGUCAACACAGUUAGAUUAUAUGGACCCCCUACACCAUCACAGUCACAGCCAACAACUAUUUUUCAAGGUACUGUCAACACUGUCAGAUUGUAUGGACCCCCUACACCAUUAGGGAACUCUCAGCCAGGAGGGUCUACUCAGCC